UACGGGGGGGGCAAGCGUUGUUCGGAAUUACUGGGCGUAAAGGGUUCGUAGGUGGCCAACUAAGUCAUACGUGAAAUCCCUCAGCUUAACUGGGGAACUGCGUCUGAUACUGGUUGGCUUGAGUGCAGGAGAGGAACGCGGAAUUCCAGGUGUAGCGGUGAAAUGCGUAGAUAUCAGGAGGAACACCGGUGGCGAAGGCGGGUCUCUGGGCAGUAACUGACGCUGGGGAGCGAAAGCGUGGGUAGCAAACAGG
This 253-nucleotide ribosomal RNA is filed under the name uncultured bacterium. RNAcentral's name for it is "partial 16S ribosomal RNA". It matches the Rfam family "Bacterial small subunit ribosomal RNA", at positions 524 to 776 of the family's 1533-position model. The record is from RNAcentral.